UCGGGAAUUUUGGGCAAUGGGCGAAAGCCUGACCCAGCAACGCCGCGUGAAGGAUGAAGUAUUUCGGUAUGUAAACUUCGAAAGAAUAGGAAGAAUAAAUGACGGUACUAUUUAUAAGGUCCGGCUAACUAUGUGCCAGCAGCCGCGGUAAUACGUAGGGACCAAGCGUUGUUCGGAUUUACUGGGCGUAAAGGGCGCGUAGGCGGCAAUUCAAGUCAUCUGUGAAAUCUCCGGGCUUAACUCGGAACGGUCAGAUGAUACUGCUUUGCUAGAGUGCAGAAGGGGCAAUCGGAAUUCUUGGUGUAGCGGUGAAAUGCGUAGAUAUCAAGAGGAACACCUGAGGUGAAGACGGGUUGCUGGGCUGACACUGACGCUGAGGCGCGAAAGCGUGGGGAGCAAACAGGAUUAGAUACCCCCGUAGUCCCUGAGCGGGCUGGCAAGGCGCAU
This 447-nucleotide ribosomal RNA is filed under the name uncultured bacterium. Its description in RNAcentral is "bacterial SSU rRNA". It matches the Rfam family "Bacterial small subunit ribosomal RNA", at positions 355 to 825 of the family's 1533-position model. The record is from RNAcentral.